GGAGUUUGGACCGUCUCUCAGUUCCAAUGUGGCCGAUCACCCUCUCAGGUCGGCUACCGAUCGUCGACUUGGUGGGCCGUUACCUCACCAACUAUCUAAUCGGACGCGAGCUCACCCCAAACCGGUUUGCACCUUUUACCCCUGUACCAUGCGAUACUGUGGUCUCAUGCGGUAUUAGCACCUGUUUCCAAGUGUUAUCCCCCUGUCUGGGACAGAUUGCUCACGCGUUACUCACCCGUCCGCCACUAGAAUGUACCAUUCGUUGAACCGAAGUCCGCUGAUCAGUACAUCCCCGUUCGACUUGCAUGUGUUAAGCACGCCGCCAGCGUUCGUCCUCGAGCCAUGAUCAAACUACU
This 356-nucleotide ribosomal RNA is filed under the name uncultured Coriobacteriales bacterium. RNAcentral's name for it is "partial 16S ribosomal RNA". The record is from RNAcentral. Lineage: Bacteria; Bacillati; Actinomycetota; Coriobacteriia; Coriobacteriales.